Molecule: long non-coding RNA, 1294 nt
Organism: Nerophis ophidion (straightnose pipefish)
Lineage: Eukaryota; Metazoa; Chordata; Actinopteri; Syngnathiformes; Syngnathidae
Exons: 2
Source: RefSeq, a predicted model, not a curated record
AGUGACGUCACUGUUGGAGAGCCAUAUAGCACACCGUGAUUGGUGGAUUCCUUCAGCUCCGCCCACAACGCUGUCAAGCACCAUUCAUAUCAAACUCUCACUAACAUUCAACUUUCAUAUUAGCGUGGGAGCCGCAAAAUAAGAUCUCACGUGUCUGAGACCCUGGUCUAAUAUAUAUAUAGAUGUGUCAGAAGUGCUACUGACACUUUGAUCAUGUUUGCUUUUCCUGUCUUUGAAAUCACUUCCUGUCCUGCUGCUCUUAUUUUCUCACUGUUUCCUGUUUGCUCUCUGUCUUUUGUGGCACCUUUACUCUCUGCUCCGUGUCUGCACACCUGUUCCUCGUUUAAUUAGUUGUAUUUAGUUCCACCUGAGUCCCUCCUUCACUGCUUCAUCAUUAUUCUUUUUUGACGGAUGUGGAUCGGACGGGUUUUAUUCGCAAGCCAAACAUUCCUCCCGCUGUGCCAACCUCACCUGUGGGGUCCCUAGGGCUCAAUACUGGGUUCCAUCCUGUUCUCCAUCUACAUGCUCUCCCUCAGCCAAGUCAUUCAUCGCCUUAAAAUUUCCUUUCAUUUCUACACUGAUGAUACUAAAUCUAUCUUCCACUCAAGACAGACGAUCCCUCUGGACUGGACCAUUUGAAGGACUGCUUGCAGGACAUAAAAGAGUGGAUGUCAAAAUUUCCUGCAGCUCAAUGACAGAGUGAAAUUCUUCUGUUCGGGAACUCCAACCUCCCAACCGUGCACAAUAGCCAAGAUCAAGUAUGUCCUCUCCCCCAGUGACUUAGAGGGUCGUGUUCAUGCUCAUCUUCUGCAGACUGGACUAAUGGAAUGCCCUCUAUGCUGGGGUCACUAACAAGACCAUAUAUAGCAUGCAGUUGGUACAAAAUGCUGGUGACAGGCACAAAAAUGAGGGAACACAUUUCUCCCAUCCUCUCCUCCCUUCACUGGCUCCUGGUGAAGCACAGAGUGAAAUUUAAGAUCCUUACGUAUGUCUUCAAAGCGCUCCGUGGUCUUACCCCAGCUUACAUCAAACAUGUCCUGGACCAACCUAUCAGCUCCAGGCUUGGUCGUUGCCUCAGAUCUGACAACCAGAUGACCUUGAAGGUCCCACAGUCAAACCUAGUGACAAAGAGAGACUGUGCAUUUUCAAUGAUGGUACCUGGCCUAUGGAAUAAGCUCCCCCUGAAAGUCAAGUCCGCCACCACUCUGGACACUUUUAGAGCACAGCUUAAAACUCACCUCUUUGCCGCAAAUGACUUGAUUUGUGUUCAUGUGUCUUAAAUGUUUGUUCUAAA